This 591-nucleotide ribosomal RNA is filed under the name Petasospora taoyuanica. Its description in RNAcentral is "eukaryotic LSU rRNA". It matches the Rfam family "Eukaryotic large subunit ribosomal RNA", at positions 40 to 647 of the family's 3401-position model. Lineage: Eukaryota; Fungi; Ascomycota; Saccharomycetes; Phaffomycetales; Wickerhamomycetaceae. The record is from RNAcentral.
AUAUCAAUAAGCGGAGGAAAAGAAACCAACAGGGAUUGCCUCAGUAACGGCGAGUGAAGCGGCAAAAGCUCAAAUUUGAAAUCUGGUACCUUUGGUGCCCGAGUUGUAAUUUGAAGGUAGUUUUCUGGUGCUGGUCCUUGUCUAUGUUCCUUGGAACAGGACGUCAUAGAGGGUGAGAAUCCCGUCUGAUGGGGAAUCCAGUGCUUUGUAGAUUUCUACCGACGAGUCGAGUUGUUUGGGAAUGCAGCUCUAAGUGGGUGGUAAAUUCCAUCUAAAGCUAAAUAUUGGCGAGAGACCGAUAGCGAACAAGUACAGUGAUGGAAAGAUGAAAAGAACUUUGAAAAGAGAGUGAAAAAGUACGUGAAAUUGUUGAAAGGGAAGGGUAUUGGAUCAGACUUGGUGUUUUGUGAUUAUCUUCCCUUCUUGGGUUGUGCACUCGCAUUUCACUGGGCCAGCAUCGGUUCGGGUGGCAAGAUAAUGGCUUGGGAACGUGGCACUCUUCGGAGUGUGUUAUAGCCCUUGUUGAUGUUGCCUACCUGGACCGAGGACUGCGGCUUCUGCCUAGGAUGCUGGCGUAAUGAUUCAAUACCG